AUGGAGUGUCCUUUCCGCGAGCACAAUGUCAGCGGUGAUUACUUCGAUGAGUUCGUCUGGAGCCAUAGGAACAUCUCGAGAAGGAUCCUGCAGUUUAGGAUGGUGCAGCCCAAUGCCUCCUGUGUGCAUCGCAGCGAAGGUCACUUCAGCGGCACUGUGGAUUAUGAAAGGAGCGUGAGCUUUCUCAACAUCUCAGAGGUGCUUAUGAACGACACUGGCCCUUACCACUGCUAUGUGAAGAUAGGGAACAGCAACCCGACCGAAAAGGUGGCUCACCUGCUCGUUAGAGGUCGGCAGCCGUGGGCAGCCUCUGGGGGCCUCAGCUUGUCUGAACCUCCAGGAGGCAAAGUCACCUUGGACUGUGACUUCCCCACCAAGCUGCCCGGCAGCUUCACCUACCUCUUUUGGCUGCACGAGCAAGACCAGAGCCCACCCCGACUUGUGGCGUGGCACCUCACGUCCAGUUUCCAGAACAACAGCGGCAGCACUGGAAGUCGUUUCCAGAGCGUAUUUGACCUGGAAAAUCACUGGAGCCAUCUCACCAUUACCGGGCUGGAAGAGAAGGACAGCGGCUGGUACCAGUGUGAGGGCCUGGGAGAGCUUUCAGGCUGGCAGAGAGGGACGAGAACCCACCUCGCUGUGCAAGGCUCCUCGGCUGGCCUGCUGGUUGUUUUGGGGAGUGUUGCGUUUGUCGUCAUGGCUCUGUGCUCUUACUUUCUGUACAAGCACCACAAGAAGCUGAGGAGGCAGCGCACCGUGCAGGACACUUCGGAUCCCAGCCACAGGCACGCAGAGGACAGCACGAGGCAGCCUGCAGGCGGGGAAGCUGUCAGUGCCAGUGUUGGCAGCACGGCAGAGUACAGCGUGAGUGGGGUGCCGGGCAGAGACAGCCACUGCUGGGUCCUGCAGCAGUGCAGGGGUUGGUGACGGAGCCCUGGGGCCAGGGAUGGGGCUGCUGGGCGGUAACCAAGGCUGUUUUUUGUUCACAGCUCCUCACUUUCCCGGGAAGGAACACCGCUGCAGGGGACUGGGGACAACGAUGACAGUUCAGGAAGACCUAGUGGGACACGGGGAGCUGUGCUGCGCUUCCUGUACUUGUGGUACUGUGAAUAGUUCCCCUCCACUGCGUAUCAUGCAAAGGUCCCUAGCAAAGCCUUCUCUCCCUUGAUGGUUGUUUUUUGUAUUCAAUUAAAGCCUCUCAAGGACAGACUGUGUACAUUCAGUCUCUGCUCUACCUGGCUGUUCUGGCUGCCUGUGGAGCUGGCUUUCAGCUGCUCUGUGUCCAGCCUGGCUCAGCCCAACCCUUGUACCAUCCUCUGGGGCUGAUGCUACCCACCAGGCACAGCCACAUCCUCCUCCCGUGGAGGAAAAGCCUGGCAGCUCUGCAGGUUGAAGUAAGGCCUGCAUGGGGACUCCUCUAACCCAGGGCAGCAGAGAGGUGCUGAUGUCUCUGUUCCUGUCGCUGUCCUAUCAAUAAAAUGCUCCAACACUGCA
Molecule: long non-coding RNA, 1494 nt
Filed under: Anas platyrhynchos platyrhynchos (common mallard)
Lineage: Eukaryota; Metazoa; Chordata; Aves; Anseriformes; Anatidae
Description: lncRNA (ENSAPLG00000017306.1)
Source: RNAcentral